AGUCGAGCGCAUCCUUCGGGAUGAGCGGCGGACGGGUGAGUAACACGUGGGAACAUGCCCUUCACUGCGGAAUAGUCUCGGGAAACUGGGGGUAAUACCGCAUACGCCCUUCGGGGGAAAGAUUUAUCGGUGAAGGAUUGGCCCGCGUUGGAUUAGGUAGUUGGUGGGGUAACGGCCUACCAAGCCGACGAUCCAUAGCUGGUUUGAGAGGAUGAUCAGCCACACUGGGACUGAGACACGGCCCAGACUCC
RNAcentral lists this ribosomal RNA (251 nucleotides) under uncultured bacterium. Its description in RNAcentral is "partial 16S ribosomal RNA". It matches the Rfam family "Bacterial small subunit ribosomal RNA", at positions 60 to 339 of the family's 1533-position model. The record is from RNAcentral.